This 1044-nucleotide long non-coding RNA is filed under the name Coturnix japonica (Japanese quail). RNAcentral describes it as "lncRNA (ENSCJPG00005005427.1)". Lineage: Eukaryota; Metazoa; Chordata; Aves; Galliformes; Phasianidae. The record is from RNAcentral.
UGGUUGCAAAUUGCUGUCAAGCUUUAGGAUAUUCUGCCGUCGGCAGAAGAAGGGCAGAGUUAUUUGAGCUGUGCUUUCCUGCCAGCUGUGCUGAAGCUGGGAUGACGUUUUCAAUCUCUUGCAGGUAGGAGACUUGGUGUGCGUUAUUGCAAUGCCCCAAAGGAGCUGAGCCCCUGGUGGAGAGGCAAGCGUGGCUUUGAGGUAGGCACACGUUUUUGACUAGAGAGCACAACUUCAGUAGAGUUGGGAAUCUCAGCUUGGAGCUGCUCUGCCUGCACAGGAUGGCUGCUGGAUGCAAACAGUUGCCCUGUGUCACUGUCAGUGGACCUUCCCUUUGGCUCUGGGCUCGGGCUAAUGCUCACCUGUCUUUUUGUUCUAAUUACAGGUUGGGCUUUUCCCUGGUGAGUGCAUGGAACUCAUCAGCGGAAAAGUUCCCGAUUCCCUCCUCAAUUCAUUGCCAAAGCCAGUGCCAAGGAGACGGGGCAAGCUCAUCCCCUUCCUUCGCUCCCUGGUGAAGGCCCGCCCCAGGAGAGCGACGGAGCCGGAGCCGAAGAAGGAAGGGGUGUUUGGGUGUGACCUGGGGGAGCACCUUCUGCGCUCUGGCCGUGAUGUCCCCCAGGUCCUGCAGAGCUGCGCUCAGUUCAUUGAGCAGCAUGGCGUGGUGCGGGGGAUAUACCGCCGUUCCGGCGUCGCGUCCAAGAUCCAGCAACUACGGUAAGAGUGCUGCAACUGACACAGCUGUCAGUAGGGGCACGUGCCAUGCUGCGGGCGUUCAGAGGAACCCCUUCCUUUUCUUGACUGUAUUUUGUGUGGCUUUGGACUUGUUUUCGUCUUUCUCAAAGCCCUCUGCCCAAUUCUGUGUCCUUCUCUGCAGCCAUGAAUUCGAUACGGAGCAGGUUCCCGAGCUCAGCGUCCGAGACAUUCACAGCGUGAGCUCCCUGUGCAAGAUGUAUUUCAGGGAGCUCCCAAACCCUCUGCUGACCGACCAGCUGUAUGACAAGUUCUCGGUAAGCUCAGGGCAAUGUCUUGGAAAUGACACGUACC